This 567-nucleotide ribosomal RNA is filed under the name uncultured bacterium. RNAcentral describes it as "partial 16S ribosomal RNA". It matches the Rfam family "Bacterial small subunit ribosomal RNA", at positions 355 to 915 of the family's 1533-position model. The record is from RNAcentral.
UGGGGAAUUUUGGACAAUGGGCGAAAGCCUGAUCCAGCAAUGCCGCGUGUGUGAAGAAGGCCUUCGGGUUGUAAAGCACUUUUGUCCGGAAAGAAAUCCUUGGCUCUAAUACAGUCGGGGGAUGACGGUACCGGAAGAAUAAGCACCGGCUAACUACGUGCCAGCAGCCGCGGUAAUACGUAGGGUGCAAGCGUUAAUCGGAAUUACUGGGCGUAAAGCGUGCGCAGGCGGUUUGCUAAGACCGAUGUGAAAUCCCCGGGCUCAACCUGGGAACUGCAUUGGUGACUGGCAGGCUAGAGUAUGGCAGAGGGGGGUAGAAUUCCACGUNUAGCAGUGAAAUGCGUAGAGAUGUGGAGGAAUACCGAUGGCGAAGGCAGCCCCCUGGGCCAAUACUGACGCUCAUGCACGAAAGCGUGGGGAGCAAACAGGAUUAGAUACCCUGGUAGUCCACGCCCUAAACGAUGUCAACUAGUUGUUGGGGAUUCAUUUCCUUAGUAACGUAGCUAACGCGUGAAGUUGACCGCCUGGGGAGUACGGUCGCAAGAUUAAAACUCAAAUGAAUUGAGC